GCGGGAAUAGCUCAGUCGGUAGAGCACAACCUUGCCAAGGUUGCGGUCACGAGUUCAAAUCUCGUUUCCCGCU
Molecule: transfer RNA, 73 nt
Filed under: Buchnera aphidicola (Cinara curtihirsuta)
Lineage: Bacteria; Pseudomonadati; Pseudomonadota; Gammaproteobacteria; Enterobacterales; Erwiniaceae
Description: transfer RNA Glycine
Rfam family: tRNA
About the family: Transfer RNA (tRNA) molecules are approximately 80 nucleotides in length. Their secondary structure includes four short double-helical elements and three loops (D, anti-codon, and T loops).
Source: RNAcentral